This is a non-coding RNA of Camellia sinensis, 217 nucleotides long. The record is from RefSeq and is a predicted model, not a curated record. NCBI's taxonomy places the organism in Eukaryota, Viridiplantae, Streptophyta, Magnoliopsida, Ericales, Theaceae.
GAAGAACAUAUGCCUCUGGUUUGCAAGUGGUGGCUGUCACAAUUUCUAACUUCUUUAAUCUUUCAACUUCCCUUGGUUCACGGACAAAUUUGAGGCUGGAUGCUCUCUUACUUUUCAGUCUAUUUCAGUCUGUUCUCUACAGAUGUUGAAUGUAUGUUCAGAACAAUUCUAUGUGAUCUGCCAUUUGAACUAAUAAAACCUGACAUUAGUUGUUCUU